UACGUAGGUGGCAAGCGUUGUCCGGAUUUACUGGGCGUAAAGGGUGCGUAGGCGGAUAUUUAAGUGAGAUGUGAAAUUCCCGGGCUUAACUUGGGAGCUGCAUUUCAAACUGGGUAUCUAGAGUGCGGGAGAGGAAAGUGGAAUUCCUAGUGUAGCGGUGAAAUGCGUAGAGAUUAGGAAGAACACCAGUGGCGAAGGCGACUUUCUGGACCGUAACUGACGCUGAGGCAUGAAAGCGUGGGGAGCAAACAGG
RNAcentral lists this ribosomal RNA (253 nucleotides) under uncultured bacterium. RNAcentral's name for it is "partial 16S ribosomal RNA". It matches the Rfam family "Bacterial small subunit ribosomal RNA", at positions 524 to 776 of the family's 1533-position model. The record is from RNAcentral.